AGAAGAACGGGUGUCAGAGUAACUGUUGACAUCGUGACGGUAUCCAACCAGAAAGCCACGGCUAACUACGUGCCAGCAGCCGCGGUAAUACGUAGGUGGCAAGCGUUGUCCGGAUUUAUUGGGCGUAAAGCGAGCGCAGGCGGUUUUUUAGGUCUGAUGUGAAAGCCUUCGGCUUAACCGGAGAAGUGCAUCGGAAACCGGGAAACUUGAGUGCAGAAGAGGACAGUGGAACUCCAUGUGUAGCGGUGAAAUGCGUAGAUAUAUGGAAGAACACCAGUGGCGAAGGCGGCUGUCUGGUCUGCAACUGACGCUGAGGCUCGAAAGCAUGGGUAGCGAACAGGAUUAGAUACCCUGGUAGUCCAUGCCGUAAACGAUGAGUGCUAAGUGUUGGAGGGUUUCCGCCCUUCAGUGCUGCAGCUAACGCAUUAAGCACUCCGCCUGGGGAGUACGACCGCAAGGUUGAAACUCAAAGGAAUUGACGGGGGCCCGCACAAGCGGUGGAGCAUGUGGUUUAAUUCGAUGCUACGCGAAGAACCUUACCAGGUCUUGACAUCUUCUGCUAACCUAAGAGAUUAGGCGUUCCCUUCGGGGACGGAAUGACAGGUGGUGCAUGGUUGUCGUCAGCUCGUGUCGUGAGAUGUUGGGUUAAGUCCCGCAACGAGCGCAACCCUUAUUGUCAGUUGCCAGCAUUCAGUUGGGCACUCUGGCGAGACUGCCGGUGACAAACCGGAGGAAGGUGGGGAUGACGUCAAAUCAUCAUGCCCCUUAUGACCUGGGCUACACACGUGCUACAAUGGACGGUACAACGAGUCGCGAAACCGCGAGGUCAAGCUAAUCUCUGAAAGCCGUUCUCAGUUCGGAUUGCAGGCUGCAACUCGCCUGCAUGAAGUUGGAAUCGCUAGUAAUCGUGGAUCAGCAUGCCACGGUGAAUACGUUCCCGGGCCUUGUACACACCGCCCGUCACACCAUGAGAGUUUGUAACACCCAAAGCCGGUGAGGUAACCUUCGGGGGCCAGCCGUCUAAGGUGGGACAGAUGAUUAGGGUGAAGUCGUAACAAGGUAGCCGUAGGAGAACCUGCGGCUGGAUCACCUCCUUUCUAA
Molecule: ribosomal RNA, 1101 nt
Filed under: uncultured bacterium
Lineage: Bacteria
Description: bacterial SSU rRNA
Rfam family: Bacterial small subunit ribosomal RNA
Source: RNAcentral